UCAACGACUCAGAUGGAUUGUUCUGCCGGCAGACGCCGUGGUCUAAUCGUCCUAGCGCUCGGCGUGACUGCGUCCCCGAUCCCUGCGGCCAUCCGCGUUUGGCCAUCACGCACUCCUCCGCGCCGUGUGUCCCCAGCGACCCUCGGUCCGAUUGCCCUCCGCGUCCGGCUACCAUGCACUUCUCUACGCGGGGCGCCGCGAGCGACUCUCCGUCCGACUGCCGCCCCGCGGCCCUCCACGUCCGACCGCCAUGUGCUCCUCCGCGUCGGGCGCCGCGAGCGACUCUCCGCCCCGCAGCCCUCCACGGCCGCCACGCGCUCCUCCGUGCUGGGCGCCGCGAGCGACCCCUCCACUCCACGCCUUCCCACACAAGCCGCCGCCGGCCCUUCAUGCCGCGACAGGCAACGCGCUCAUGCCGCUAUACAGGACUGCGGCUAUUUAUGUUCAGAUCACAUGUUUUUUCUUUGAUCCGCUUCAUUCGGUUGUACAGGUUGAUGUGGUGACGGGUGAGAUGUAUGUCCAUGCGCUAUUCCACAGCCGCGUACUGAUAACCCAGGCCUUUAGAGAUUAACUGAGUGCCAUAUGUAUCGGCAACAACACAACAACCGUGCAGGUAUGUUCCUUUGUAAAAUCUCAGGAAUAUCUAAGCAGUGUGCAUGGAUUGGCUGAGCCAUCCUAAUAAUUUUCUUACCACAAAAUUGCAAGGUGCAUUCUCUAUACAUAAUUUUCACUUCGUUCUAUUUUUUGUGUAUCUCUUUUGUAGAAUCAUUGUAGUCAGAGAAGUCGAUGAGCAUAUUGCUUUCUCUGUUUUCAGAUAGUUUCCGAGCCCUCCUUCUGCAAGAUAAACUGAUAAAUAAAUCAUGUGCUGGCAGUGGUAUGAUAUUCAGGUUCGUACAUGUAUAUUUUCUAGGUUACUCUUAGCUUUCACACACCUAUAAAUUAUCUUGAUUUGUGUAUGCUUUGAUUACACAAUAGUGUAGUUAACAGAACUGAGUCAUAUUGAGCGGUUAGUUGAGUACCUAUAUCUAUAUGUGUGACAGCUCACAGCCAGGCAAGUUAUGUUCUGUCGUCGAAUAGAUAUUCAUAUGACUGAUUUGUGAACUUUAGCAUUUUGCAUUUAAUUGUGUCAUUUUUAAUGGUUAGUUAGGCUGAAUUGGCGAAUGAGUUGAUGACUGGGUUCAUGUGAUAAAUAAGCAUUUUUAAAGCUUGUGCUAUCACUUAUUUGAAUUCAUGAUUGCAGGAGUGUCUCAUGGCUUAAUAGUCGUUCAGGCACGUGCAAUUUUUAAGAGUGAAGUCAGUAGAAUAACUUCUUCUGGGUUGAGGUUUCAACAGAUUGAUUCAUUGGAGGGAUGCUGGUACAGUGGCCAUAUCUAUGGUAAGACGUAUGGGGUAAAAUUAGAAGUAGAUACCUUUUUGGUCUGCUGAAAUUUUACCCGUCUAAAGAAACUUGGUACGACAUACUAAGAUGAAAUAUUGUAUUCUUCAAUUUGAGACAUUUAAUAGUGAACUGAGAGGCUCUAGCAUGGACUACAAACUAAUCUCAGCUAUAUUUGGAUGCAGUGCAAGGAAUUCUUCUUCUUGCAGUUGCAGGACCAUGAGAUGUCGACGCUACACUGUGGACACACCAAUGUCCCAGCCAAGUCAGUGAUGCAGCCCCAACUCCUGAUUUCUUCAAGUUGAGGAAGCUGCGGCAGCCUGACUCCAUUCUGCCUAUUGCCGCCCUAUCCAAGCUGCUGCUAGGAAACUACUACUCCCGUUGGAUAGAUGAACCCUCUGACUAUCUACUUUAUGUUAUUCCCUUUGUGUUAUCCAAUUGCUCUUGAUAAUUUAAUGAUUCAAUCAAAUUUCACUGCAAAUCAUACUGGAUCAGGCUUUUCUUCUUUCCAAUUUCACCGGCAGACGCGCAGCAGCGCCGGCGAGCGCCUCGGGUGGCGGCGGGGAGGGGAGGGGUGGAGUAAGGGGUUGCGCCGGACAAGGGUUUGGUCGCUCUCGUGUUGCCCGUGAGGGGCGACGCGAGAGCUGAGUUGUGGAAGCCGAUGUGAGGGGAUUUGCAAUUCUUUCAACGCAGUGUUAGUUUGCGUUAAGUUGGAAAAUCCAAAUCCAUACAUUUACAAUUCUUCUUGUUAUAAUUAUAUUAUAUAUUUUCAUUAACUAAUGUUUACAGAAUACCAUCUGAGUAACCGCCUGAUAUAGCAGUUAGUUUUAACAUUAGAUGCAACAACUUUGACAUUUAUGAUUUGAUCAUGUUUUUAUUAGGACAAUAAACUUGUCUAGAAUUCAUUAUGAAUUGAAGGCUCUGGAAAUAGAUGCACCUGCUCCCUAAAUUAUUCUCAGUGUGAUUUCUGAAUCAUACAUGCUGACAUGCAUUGGCAAUCAUUAUUCAACGGAUUGCCUUUUCACUGAAAUAAGAACCGCAUGAUGCUUACAAUUUAAUCUGGUCAUCUAGAUAACUGAAUGGGUUAAUUUUAUGCUUAGUAUCUUCUGGCACAUGUAAAGUGGGGAAGAAAACCAAUCUCUUUUGAUAUGGACUUCUGGAGGCAACAUUCCUUGAUUGUAUGCACUUAACAUUUUCUUUUGGCUUCCUGCUAUCGCGUUUUAAGUUGUCUGCUAAUACUUUUAAGUCUCUCUUGUGCUCAAUUUCAGAUGCUAUCUUGUGUACGAUUGAGCAGUCUCGACUAUACUUCGACCCAGACAUCAACGAAGCAAAUAACUUGAUUGUAAAGUAAAUUCAUGAUUAUCAAUGCCUAGCUUUUGAUCUUGACUAAUACGAAGGGUGCAAUGUGUAGGUUCAGAGAGCUCCGACGCUUUAUCCGACCAAAGACUUUCAAGCUAUAUUUUCUUUCAAGAUUUUGAGCAUCCCUGCACACGGAACAAUAUUGGAGAGAUAGAGUGCCACUGUUACAUUUCUCAAUAUCCAAGCUUUUAUUUCAUUGUUCUGAUAAUUGUUAUAUUUUGUUGGUGCACCAUUAUAGUUUGUUUAUUUUA
Triticum aestivum (bread wheat) is the source of this 2985-nucleotide long non-coding RNA. RefSeq lists it as uncharacterized. Lineage: Eukaryota; Viridiplantae; Streptophyta; Magnoliopsida; Poales; Poaceae. The transcript has 2 exons. The record is from RefSeq and is a predicted model, not a curated record.